Molecule: transfer RNA, 73 nt
Filed under: Canis lupus familiaris (dog)
Lineage: Eukaryota; Metazoa; Chordata; Mammalia; Carnivora; Canidae
Also listed under: 1 other name
Rfam family: tRNA
About the family: Transfer RNA (tRNA) molecules are approximately 80 nucleotides in length. Their secondary structure includes four short double-helical elements and three loops (D, anti-codon, and T loops). Further hydrogen bonds mediate the characteristic L-shaped molecular structure. tRNAs have two regions of fundamental functional importance: the anti-codon, which is responsible for specific mRNA codon recognition, and the 3' end, to which the tRNAs corresponding amino acid is attached (by aminoacyl-tRNA synthetases). tRNAs cope with the degeneracy of the genetic code in two manners: having more than one tRNA (with a specific anti-codon) for a particular amino acid; and 'wobble' base-pairing, i.e. permitting non-standard base-pairing at the 3rd anti-codon position.
Source: Rfam by way of RNAcentral
ACCUGGUUGGCUUCAUCAGUAUAGCAUGGGACUCUUAAUCUCAGUGUUGUGAGUUCCAGCCCCACACUGGGCU